This 857-nucleotide ribosomal RNA is filed under the name uncultured bacterium. Its description in RNAcentral is "bacterial SSU rRNA". It matches the Rfam family "Bacterial small subunit ribosomal RNA", at positions 58 to 916 of the family's 1533-position model. The record is from RNAcentral.
CAAGUCGACGAUACCAGAGAGCUUGCUUUCUGGGAAAGUGGCGCACGGGUGCGUAACGCGUAUGCAACCUACCUUAAUCAGGGGGAUAGCCUCUCGAAAGAGAGAUUAACACCGCAUAAAAUCACACUUCGGCAUCGAAGAAUGAUCAAAUAUUUAUAGGAUUAAGAUGGGCAUGCGUGACAUUAGUUUGUUGGUGAGGUAACGGCUCACCAAGACUACGAUGUCUAGGGGAUCUGAGAGGAUGACCCCCCACACUGGUACUGAGACACGGACCAGACUCCUACGGGAGGCAGCAGUAAGGAAUAUUGGUCAAUGGGGGCAACCCUGAACCAGCCAUGCCGCGUGCAGGAAGACGGCCCUACGGGUUGUAAACUGCUUUUAUACGGGAAUAAACCUCUCUACGUGUAGGGAGUUGAAUGUACUGUAAGAAUAAGGAUCGGCUAACUCCGUGCCAGCAGCCGCGGUAAUACGGAGGAUCCAAGCGUUAUCCGGAUUUAUUGGGUUUAAAGGGUGCGUAGGCGGCCUAUUAAGUCAGGGGUGAAAGACGGUGGCUCAACCAUCGCAGUGCCCUUGAUACUGAUGGGCUUGAUUACACUUGAGGUAGGCGGAAUGUGACAAGUAGCGGUGAAAUGCAUAGAUAUGUCACAGAACACCAAUUGCGAAGGCAGCUUACUAAGGUGUUAAUGACGCUGAGGCACGAAAGCGUGGGGAUCAAACAGGAUUAGAUACCCUGGUAGUCCACGCCCUAAACGAUGAAUACUCGAUGUUAGCGAUAUACAGUUAGCGUCAAAGCGAAAGCGUUAAGUAUUCCACCUGGGGAGUACGCCCGCAAGGGUGAAACUCAAAGGAAUUGACGG